GACGUAGGGCGCGAGCGUUGUCCGGAAUCAUUGGGCGUAAAGGGCGCGUAGGUGGCCCCUCAAGCGUGCGGUGAAAGUCAGGGGCUCAACCCCUGAUCGGCCGUGCGAACUGGGGAGCUUGAGCACUGUAGAGGCAGGCGGAAUUCCGGGUGUAGCGGUGGAAUGCGUAGAGAUCCGGAAGAACACCGGUGGCGAAGGCGGCCUGCUGGGCAGUUUUGCUGACACUGAGGCGCGACAGCGUGGGGAGCGAACAGG
Molecule: ribosomal RNA, 255 nt
Filed under: uncultured bacterium
Lineage: Bacteria
Description: partial 16S ribosomal RNA
Rfam family: Bacterial small subunit ribosomal RNA
Source: RNAcentral